GACGAACGCUGGCGGCGUGCUUAACACAUGCAAGUCGAACGGUGAAGCGCCUUCCUUUUUGGUGGGUGUGGUUGAGUGGCGAACGGGUGAGUAACACGUGAGUAACCUGCACCCUUCUUCUGGAUAACCGCAUGAAGGUGUGGCUAGGACGGGAUAUUCUGCGUCUUUGGCGUGAUGGGUCUGUGAAAGAGAUUGGUGCGGUGGGGGAGGGUCUCGCGGCUGAUCAGCUUGUGGUGGCGGUGAUGGCCUACCAAGGCGGGGAGGGCUAGCCGGCCUGAGAGGGUGGGCGGUCACAAGGGGACGGAGAGACGGACCGGAAUCGUGCGAGAGGCAGCAGUGGGGAAUAUUGCACAAUGGGCGAAAGCCUGAUGCAGCGACGCCGCGUGAGGGAGGGAGGCCUUCGGGUUGAGAACCUCUUUCGGCAGUGAAGCAGGCCUGCCUCGUGUGUGGGUGGGUUGACGGUAGCUGGAUAAGAAGCGACGGCUAACUACGUG
RNAcentral lists this ribosomal RNA (494 nucleotides) under uncultured bacterium. RNAcentral describes it as "partial 16S ribosomal RNA". It matches the Rfam family "Bacterial small subunit ribosomal RNA", at positions 28 to 507 of the family's 1533-position model. The record is from RNAcentral.